Molecule: ribosomal RNA, 629 nt
Filed under: uncultured Basidiomycota
Lineage: Eukaryota; Fungi; Basidiomycota
Description: partial 18S ribosomal RNA
Rfam family: 5.8S ribosomal RNA (bases 222-375)
Source: RNAcentral
UUCCGUAGGUGAACCUGCGGAAGGAUCAUUAACGUGCUCGUUCGGCCGCUCGGGUCAGCCCUGCACCGGCGGAGACGCCGUGCUGCGGGCUCUCUGGCGUGCCUUCCAAACCAAUCCCCUGUGAACCUUUGGGAAGGCCGAGCCUUCGCGGCGAAGUCGUCCCCUUUACAAACUCUGUAUCUCUAGAAUGACCGCGGACUUCGUCUGCCUAAACACAUAACAACUUUCAACAACGGAUCUCUUGGCUCUCGCAUCGAUGAAGAGCGCAGCGAAAUGCGAUAAGUAAUGUGAAUUGCAGAAUUCAGUGAAUCAUCGAAUCUUUGAACGCACCUUGCGCUCCUUGGUAUUCCGAGGAGCAUGCCUGUUUGAGUGUCAUGGAAUUCUCAACCUAUAAAUCUUUGUGGUUUAUGGGCUUGGACUUGGAGGCUUGCCGGCCUCAAUGGUCGGCUCCUCUUGAAUGCAUUAUCUUGACUCCGUGCGGAUCGGCUCUCAGUGUGAUAAUUGUCUACGCUGUGAACCGUGAAGUGUUUGGCGAGCUUCUAACCGUCCCUUUGGGACAAUUUAUUGACAUCUGACCUCAAAUCAGGUAGGACUACCCGCUGAACUUAAGCAUAUCAAUAAGCGGAGGA